Molecule: long non-coding RNA, 959 nt
Organism: Armigeres subalbatus
Lineage: Eukaryota; Metazoa; Arthropoda; Insecta; Diptera; Culicidae
Exons: 3
Source: RefSeq, a predicted model, not a curated record
AAAAAAAUACACGAGAGGACCGUGUGUUCUACACAUGAAUUUGCGCAUGUUGUCAAAGCAAAUCAAUAUCACGUGUAAAACAUAUGACAUCGCUCAUUCGAAACUCUGCAUUUGUUUAUAAACAAACCACACGGUAUUAACGUGUAAAACAAAUAGAAUUCUGUUGCUUGACUUGCCAGAGUCACUUGUUUGAUAUGUGAUAUCGAAAUGUAUUCGUGUUGAAUUUCGUUUGUUAUAACAAAAAUGCUGAACCACACCAACCAGCAUUAACGAACUGAGGCCGAAGAGUUUGUUCUAGGACAGAUCACCAAGAAAUUCAAAGGAUUGCUGCCGGAAAACGUGAUUGGUUCGGUGCUGAUGCCUACCAAUAACAGGAAGCCGCCUUGAAGUACGUACGUCGCAAAGGAUAUUCCGAAGAACCGAUACUGAGGAUUCGUCGUUGUUUUUAUGAAAAACAAAUGCAGCAGCAGCAGGAGGAGAACAUGCAAUAAAUAAGAAAAUGCACCAAGUUAGUAUGUUCCGAUUAGAUUCAACACCAACGAGGAGCCACAGCAGGUCAGCCAGUUUUCCCAGAGCAAGAAAUUCAAUUUUGAAAUAUUUAUAUAAGUAUAUAUUCAAAUAAAAUAUUCAACUUACUUCUGUAUUGUUUUUGUUUUUCAACCGUAUAAUAGAAAUCGCAUUCCGAAUGGAUCAAAUGAAAUAAAAAUAAAUUAUUAUUUUAAAAAAAAUCUACAUUUUUUACAGUUUUCAACUAUAUAGUAUAAAAAGAUUUCGAGAACUUUAUUGUACAUAGAUUUGUAGGCGUAUACUCAUAUUUACCUAAGACAGCAGUUUAGUUCAAAUUUGGUAAACUUCACUUCGUCUUUUUAUGUGCGAAGUUGUUUGUUCCACACAUGCCGCAAUGUCUUCUGCCACUGAACAGUGAAAUGCCUCUUCCUUCCACCACCGCUUUAUAACCA